This 24-nucleotide non-coding RNA is filed under the name Cricetulus griseus (Chinese hamster). Lineage: Eukaryota; Metazoa; Chordata; Mammalia; Rodentia; Cricetidae. The record is from RNAcentral.
AACUCUGGACUGUGGACAGUCAAC